This 352-nucleotide ribosomal RNA is filed under the name uncultured bacterium. RNAcentral describes it as "partial 16S ribosomal RNA". It matches the Rfam family "Bacterial small subunit ribosomal RNA", at positions 338 to 688 of the family's 1533-position model. The record is from RNAcentral.
CCUACGGGUGGCUGCAGUGAGGAAUAUUGGUCAAUGGGCGGGAGCCUGAACCAGCCAAGUAGCGUGAAGGAUGACAGCCCUAUGGGUUUUAAACUUCUUUUAUAAGGGAAUAAAGUGCCCCACGUGUGGGGUUUUGUAUGUACCUUAUGAAUAAGCAUCGGCUAAUCCCGUGCCAGCAGCCGCGGUAAUACGGAAGAUUCGAGCGUUAUCCGGUUUUAUUGGGUUUAAAGGGAGCGUGGGCGGUUCCAUAAGUCAGCGGUAAAAUCGUGCGGCACAACCGUACCGUGCCGUUGAAACUAUGGGACUUGAGUAUGCGCAGGGUACAUGAAAGUCGGGGUGUGGCGGUGAAAUG